CCUACGGGUGGCAGCAGUGGGGAAUAUUGCGCAAUGGGCGAAAGCCUGACGCAGCGACGCCGCGUGAGGGAUGAAGGUCUUCGGAUCGUAAACCUCUGUCAGCAGGGAAGAACGGUCACUGUGCUAAUCAGCAGUGAAUUGACGGUACCUGCAAAGGAAGCACCGGCUAACUCCGUGCCAGCAGCCGCGGUAAUACGGAGGGUGCGAGCGUUAAUCGGAAUUACUGGGUUUAAAGGGUGCGCAGGCGGCCUGUAAAGUCAGCGGUAAAAGCCCGGGGCUCAACCCCGGAGAGACGUUGAAACUGGCGGGCUGGAGUUGGAGAGAGGUACGCGGAAUGCGAGGUGUAGCGGUGAAAUGCUUAGAUAUCGCGAAGAACACCGAUUGCGAAGGCAGCGUACCGGCUCCACACUGACGCUGAGGCACGAAAGCGUGGGUAUCGAACAGGAUUAGAUACCCGGGUAGUC
RNAcentral lists this ribosomal RNA (464 nucleotides) under uncultured bacterium. Its description in RNAcentral is "partial 16S ribosomal RNA". It matches the Rfam family "Bacterial small subunit ribosomal RNA", at positions 338 to 795 of the family's 1533-position model. The record is from RNAcentral.